Molecule: ribosomal RNA, 449 nt
Filed under: uncultured bacterium
Lineage: Bacteria
Description: bacterial SSU rRNA
Rfam family: Bacterial small subunit ribosomal RNA
Source: RNAcentral
UGGGGAAUUUUGGACAAUGGGGGCAACCCUGAUCCAGCAAUGCCGCGUGUGUGAAGAAGGCCUUCGGGUUGUAAAGCACUUUUGUUCGGGAAGAAAAUAUCUGUGCGAAUAACAUGGAUAGAUGACGGUACCGGAAGAAUAAGCACCGGCUAACUACGUGCCAGCAGCCGCGGUAAUACGUAGGGUGCGAGCGUUAAUCGGAAUAAUUGGGCGUAAAGGGUGCGCAGGCGGUAAGCUAAGACGGAUGUGAAAGCCCCGGGCUCAACCUGGGAAUGGCAUACGUGACUGGCUCACUAGAAUAUGGCAGAGGGAGGUAGAAUUCCACAUGUAGCAGUGAAAUGCGUAGAUAUGUGGAGGAACACCGAUGGCGAAGGCAGCCUCCUGGGUCAAUAUUGACGCUCAGGCACGAAAGCGUGGGGAGCAAACAGGAUUAGAUACCCCCGUAGUCC